This 253-nucleotide ribosomal RNA is filed under the name uncultured bacterium. RNAcentral describes it as "partial 16S ribosomal RNA". It matches the Rfam family "Bacterial small subunit ribosomal RNA", at positions 524 to 776 of the family's 1533-position model. The record is from RNAcentral.
UACGUAGGUGGCAAGCGUUGUCCGGAUUUAUUGGGCUUAAAGCGCACGUAGGCGGCUUAGCAAGUCGGAUGUGAAAUCCCUCGGCUCAACCAAGGAAGUGCAUCCGAAACUGCUGAGCUUGAGUACUUAAGAGGAUCGCGGAAUUCCCGGUGUAGAGGUGAAAUUCGUAGAUAUCGGGAGGAACACCAGUGGCGAAGGCGGCGAUCUGGGAAGAUACUGACGCUGAGGUGCGAAAGCGUGGGGAGCAAACAGG